GCUGGGGAGGCCUACACAUGCAGUCGAGCGGUAGCACAGAGAAGCUUGCUUCUUGGGUGACGAGCGGCGGACGGGUGAGUAAUGCAUAGGAAUCUGCCCGAUAGUGGGGGAUAACCUGGGGAAACCCAGGCUAAUACCGCAUACGUCCUACGGGAGAAAGGGGGCUUCGGCUCCCGCUAUUGGAUGAGCCUAUGUCGGAUUAGCUAGUUGGUGAGGUAAAGGCUCACCAAGGCGACGAUCCGUAGCUGGUCUGAGAGGAUGAUCAGCCACAUCGGGACUGAGACACGGCCCGAACUCCUACGGGAGGCAGCAGUGGGGAAUAUUGGACAAUGGGCGCAAGCCUGAUCCAGCCAUGCCGCGUGUGUGAAGAAGGCCUUCGGGUUGUAAAGCACUUUCAGCGAGGAAGAACGCCUAGCGGUUAAUACCCGCUAGGAAAGACAUCACUCGCAGAAGAAGCACCGGCUAACUCCGUGCCAGCAGCCGCGGUAAUACGGAGGGUGCAAGCGUUAAUCGGAAUUACUGGGCGUAAAGCGCGCGUAGGUGGCUUGAUAAGCCGGUUGUGAAAGCCCCGGGCUCAACCUGGGAACGGCAUCCGGAACUGUCAAGCUAGAGUGCAGGAGAGGAAGGUAGAAUUCCCGGUGUAGCGGUGAAAUGCGUAGAGAUCGGGAGGAAUACCAGUGGCGAAGGCGGCCUUCUGGACUGACACUGACACUGAGGUGCGAAAGCGUGGGUAGCAAACAGGAUUAGAUACCCUGGUAGUCCACGCCGUAAACGAUGUCGACCAGCCGUUGGGUGCCUAGCGCACUUUGUGGCGAAGUAACGCGAUAA
This 828-nucleotide ribosomal RNA is filed under the name Vreelandella venusta. RNAcentral describes it as "bacterial SSU rRNA". It matches the Rfam family "Bacterial small subunit ribosomal RNA", at positions 35 to 863 of the family's 1533-position model. Lineage: Bacteria; Pseudomonadati; Pseudomonadota; Gammaproteobacteria; Oceanospirillales; Halomonadaceae. The record is from RNAcentral.